This is a long non-coding RNA of Eubalaena glacialis (North Atlantic right whale), 230 nucleotides long. RefSeq lists it as uncharacterized. NCBI's taxonomy places the organism in Eukaryota, Metazoa, Chordata, Mammalia, Artiodactyla, Balaenidae. The record is from RefSeq and is a predicted model, not a curated record. The transcript has 3 exons.
CUCAGUAAGGCCCGCGGAAUUGGCGAACUGUGUGGAAGGAGCGGGAUCUGUAGAGCUCAGCAGCGGCGAGCUCCUGUCAUGGCUUGGCCAGUUCGGGUCUCCCCCUGUAACUUAUGAGGGUGCGGCGAUGUUUUCCCAGAUGUGGUUCCCGUGUACAAAACAAAGAAUCGCUUUGCACAAAGCCAGGAGGGAUACAUUGAAAGAAUUAUCAGAAAAGAAUAAUACAUAGC